UACGGGGGGGGCAAGCGUUGUUCGGAAUUACUGGGCGUAAAGCGCGCGCAGGCGGCUAUCCAAGUCAGUGGUGAAAGCCCGGAGCUCAACUCCGGAACUGCCAUUGAAACUGUUUAGCUUGAGGAUGAGAGAGGUGAGUGGAAUUCCCAGUGUAGAGGUGAAAUUCGUAGAUAUUGGGAAGAACACCGGUAGCGAGGGCGGCUCACUGGCUCAUUACUGACGCUCAGGCGCGAUAGCGUGGGGAUCAAACAGG
Molecule: ribosomal RNA, 253 nt
Filed under: uncultured bacterium
Lineage: Bacteria
Description: partial 16S ribosomal RNA
Rfam family: Bacterial small subunit ribosomal RNA
Source: RNAcentral